This 1014-nucleotide long non-coding RNA is filed under the name Homo sapiens (human). RNAcentral's name for it is "HSALNT0072745". The record is from RNAcentral. Lineage: Eukaryota; Metazoa; Chordata; Mammalia; Primates; Hominidae.
UUCUCUCUCCUUUGCUUUUCUGCCACGGGAGGACACAAGAGUUCCUCCCCUCUGGAAAAUACAGCAUUCAAAGUGCCAUCUUGGAAGCAAGACUGGACGUUUACUAGACAACAAACCUGCAGAUGCCUGAAUCUAGGACUAUGCAUCCUCCAGAAUGGCUCAUGGAUGGAAGAGACUUGCCUUGUCAUGGAAGAGACAUUGGACUGUGGACUUUUGAGUUAAUGCUGAAAUGAGUUGAGACUUUGGGGGAACUGUUGGGAAGGCAUGAUUCGUUUUCAAAUGUGCAGAUAGGAGAUUUUCAAGGGGCCAGGGGCAGAAUGAUAUGGUUUGGCUCUUUAUCCCUAUCCAAACCUCAUCUUGUAGCUCCCAUAAUUCCCAUGUAUUGUGGGAGGGACAUAGUGGGAGAUGAUUAAAUCAUGGGAACAGGUCUUUCCUGUUCUGCUCUGGUAAUAGUGAAUGGGUCUAACAAGAUCUGAUGGUUUUUAAAACAGGAGUUUCUCUGCACAAGCUUUCUCUUUUCCUGUUACCAUCCAUGUAAGAGGCAAGUUGCUUCUCUUUGCCUUCCACCAUGAUUUUGAGGCCUCCUCAGGCAUGUGGAACUGUAAGUCCAUUAAACCUCUUUUUCUGUAUAAAUUACCCUUUAUACAGCAGCAUGAGAACAGACUAAUAGAUAUCUUUAUCAGCAGCAUGAGAACAGACUAAUAGAAUGUGUUUCCCAUAAACUGCACCAAGCCAUUGGGUAAGCAUAAUUGGGGGUUUAAUGGAGUCCCAUUCCUCCAAUGCAUAGGGCUCCUUUAAUGGGAGAUUUUGCCUCAAAGAUUUUCCAUCAGACUAUCCAAACAUUUCUUAGAACUAUGUGGCAGUCAAGACUCUUCCUACCCAAUUCUCCUUCCUCCCCCUUUUCCUUUGCUAGAGUCAUAACUUCAUCACAUUUUGAAGGCUCUUCCUGCUUUCUCUAGCUUCCUUCUCAUUCUCCUUCUUAGAAUAUAUCUCCAAUAAAUUUCUUGCACCUGU